GGAUUAAUAGCCAAGUCUGGUUUAAGGCGUUGUAUUUGAACUACAAUAAUGUUUAAAAGCAUUCAGGGGUUCGAAUCCCUUUUAAUCCG
RNAcentral lists this transfer RNA (89 nucleotides) under Tetradesmus obliquus. RNAcentral's name for it is "Scenedesmus obliquus tRNA". It matches the Rfam family "tRNA". Rfam says of the family: Transfer RNA (tRNA) molecules are approximately 80 nucleotides in length. Lineage: Eukaryota; Viridiplantae; Chlorophyta; Chlorophyceae; Sphaeropleales; Scenedesmaceae. RNAcentral also lists the same sequence under 2 other names. The record is from Rfam by way of RNAcentral.